RNA transcript from Gallus gallus (chicken), 1974 nucleotides. It is a transcript of the gene named dipeptidyl peptidase 7, with no coding region annotated. NCBI's taxonomy places the organism in Eukaryota, Metazoa, Chordata, Aves, Galliformes, Phasianidae. The transcript has 14 exons. The record is from RefSeq and is a predicted model, not a curated record.
GACAACAUGGCGGCGCCUCGGUAGGCAUGGCGCCCGCGCGGUCACGUGAGGAAAGAGGUAGUGUCACGUGCUGCUGUCGGAGUCACGUGCGCAGCCGCCGGUGGUCUCCACGCGCGCGGUCGGGUCCGUGCGUGGAGCAGAGCGGAGCAGAACGGGACGCCGCUAUGGGAACGCGCUCGCCGCAGCUGCUCCUCUUCGUCCUCUCGCUUCUGCUGCCGGUCCGCGGCGCGCCCGCCGCCCAGCCGGCCGGGCCGGGCCUGGAGGAGCGGCUCUUCCCGCAGGUGCGGGACCACUUCCGCUUCGAGGCCGGCGGCAACGAGACCUUCCCGCAGCGGUACCUGCUCUCAGCAAAGUUCUGGAAGAAAGGAUUUGGACCGAUCUUUUUCUAUACUGGUAAUGAAGGCAACAUCUGGACUUUUGCUGAGAACUCGGACUUCAUAUUUGAGUUAGCAGAGCAGCAGCAAGCUCUUGUGAUUUUUGCUGAGCAUAGAUACUAUGGGAAAUCUCUUCCGUUUGGACUUGAGUCAACGCAGCUAAAGAAUACUCAUCUGCUCACUGUGGAACAAGCCCUUGCUGACUAUGCAGUGCUAAUUACUGAGCUUAAGCAGCAGUAUGGAGCUGCAGGCUGCCCUGUCAUUGCUUUCGGAGGCAGCUACGGAGGAAUGCUGAGUGCCUACAUGAGGAUGAAAUACCCAAACGUUGUGGAUGGGGCAUUGGCUGCCAGCGCUCCUGUGCUGUCUGUGGCUGGGCUUGGAGAUCCCACUCAGUUCUUCAGAGAUGUAACAGCAGAUUUUCAGAAGUCCAUCCCAGGCUGUGUCCCUGCUGUCCAAAGAGCCUUCCAGCAGAUCAGGGAUCUGUUCCUGAGCGGAGCUUAUGAUGAAAUCAGCAGCAAAAUGGCCACGUGCAGCAAGAUUUCUAGCAAGGAGGAUCUUUACCAGCUUUUUGGGUUUGCUAGAAAUGCCUUCACCAUGAUUGCCAUGAUGGACUACCCUUACAAGACCGAUUUUAUGGGGCACCUCCCUGCUAAUCCAGUGAAGGUUGGCUGUGAACAAAUCCUUGCCCACACAGACCCUAUUCAAGGCCUGGCAGCUCUUGUUGGCGUGUUCUACAACUCCUCUGGCUCAGCGCAGUGCUAUGAUGUGUACCGACUGUACCGGCCCUGCGCCGACCCCACGGGCUGCGGCACCGGCGCGGAUGCUGAGGCCUGGGACUACCAGGUGUGUACCGAGAUCAACUUAACUUUCAACAGCAACAACGUGACAGACAUGUUCCCUGAGAUGCCCUUCACAGAGGCCAUGAGAGAGCAGUACUGUUGGAGCCGAUGGCGCGUGAGGCCGCGAGCGCAGUGGCUGCGGAUCAACUUCUGGGGAGGAGACCUGAAAAGUGCAAGCAACAUCAUCUUUUCAAAUGGAGACUUGGACCCGUGGGCUGGAGGUGGGAUAAACAGCAGCCUGAGUCCUUCACUGACUGCUGUGACCAUCCAGGGAGGUGCUCAUCACCUGGAUCUGCGGUGACCAACUGCACAAGUCACAGAAUGACAGAACUGUAGGGGUUGGAAGGCUCCUCUGAGGAUCCCUGUCUGCUCCUAAAGCAGGUUCCUUCGAGCAGGCUGCACAGGAAGACAUCAAAGCAGCUGAACAGCCCCGGGGCUCUCAGCCUUUCCCCAUCAGGAGGUGCUCCAGGCCCCCACCAUCUCUGCACCCUGCGCUGGGCUCUGUGCAGCAGUUUGGUCUGCCUGGAGCUGGGGACAGUGCCAGCACUGGGCACAGUGCUCCAGUCCUCACAUGUUCAGCCCCAUUCACUGCUGUGGGUUUUGGUGUUAUCUUUUUCUGUUGUUUCUUAAGAGACACAAGAAAAUGAAAAGACACAAGAUCUGCUUGGUGAGCAGUUGAUUUGUCCCGCUGUCCCUCAGGAGCCACACAUUUACACUUGAGACAGCUUCAGCUCUUUAAAAUAAAUAACAAGUUUAUUUAA